ACAUGGCUCUUCCGGUGUGCUUUCGGAGAGUAACUGUUCCUUUGUUACUCCCCCCAACAUUUAUCCUCUAGACCAGGGGUCCCCAAACUUUUUAAACAGGGGGCCAGUUCAUGGUCCCUCAGGCCGUUGGAGGGCUGGAUUAUAGUUGAAAAAAAACUAUAAACAAAUUCCUAUGCACACUGCACAUCUCUUAUUUUGAAGUAAAAAAACCCAAACGGGAACAAAUACAGUCUCAAUGUUAAUAAUCAUAAUAAAAACAAUAAAGAGUGUUGGAAGAGACCCUUUGGGCCACUUAGUCCACCCCCUUCUAUCUUUGUGUAUCAAAAGCACAAGCAAAGCACCCCUGACAGAUGGCCACCCAGCCUCAAUAAUAAUACAGUAGAGUCUCACUUAUCCAACAUAAACGGGCCGGCAGAAUGUUGGAUAAGCGAAAAUGUUGGAUAAUAAAGAGGGAUUAACAAAUAUCCUAUUAAAUGUCAAAUUAUGUUAUGAUUUUACAAAUUAAGCACCAAAAACAUCAUGUUUUACAACAAAUCGACAGAAAAAAAGCAGUCCAAAACACGGUAACAUUAUGUAGUAAUUAGUGUAUUUAUGAAUUUAGCACCAAAACAUUGCAAUACAGUAGAGUCUCACUUAUCCAACAUAAACGGGCUGGCAGAACGUUGGAUAAGCAAAUAUGUUGGAUAAUAAAGAGGGAUUAAGGAAGAGCCUAUUAAACAUCAAAUUAGGUUAUGAUUUUACAAAUUAAGCACCAAAACAUCAUGUUAUACAACAAAUUUGACAGAAAAAGUAGUUCAACACGCAGUAAUGCUAUGUAGUAAUUACUGUAUUUACGAAUUUAGCACCAAAAUAUCACAAUAUAUUGAAAACAUUGACUAAAAAAAUGCGUUGGAUAAUCCAGAACAUUGGAUAAGUGAUGUUGGAUAAGUGAGACUCUACUGUAUAUUGAAAACAUUGACUACUAACAAAUUGACUACAAAUAAAGAUAGAAUUGCAUAAAAUGACCUUACAGUAGCUACAUUGUGAGAAAUUAAAUCCAUAAAAAUUCAAUCCUUGCUGCCUAGAGAAACAGCUGUGGAUCAGGGCGGGAGGCAAACUGCAUUGGAUAAUCCAGAACGUUGGAUAAGCGAAUGUUGGAUAAGUGAGACUCUACUGUAAUUCAAAAUCAUCUGAGUUUCAACCAGAAGCUUCUUACAUUCUUGUUCUCUAUGCCUCACUAUUUUAAGUUUCAUCUUCAUUCAGAUUUUUCCUUCUUAAUGUUCCUUCUAAGGUUGAAAAGCAGGAAUAAAAUGCACAACAGAUAGAAGCGAAAGACAGAGUGGCUGGUUAAACGUUUGCAUUUAAUAAAAUGCAAUAAAAUAAAUAUUUUGACAGAAAAAGUAGUUCAAUACGCAGUAAUGCUAUAAUUACUGUAUUUACGAAUUUAGCACCAAAAUAUCACAAUGUAUUGAAAACAUUGACUACAAAAAUGCGUUGGAUAAUCCAGAACGUCUUUCGCUUCUAUCUGUUGUGCAUGUUAUUGCUGCAUAAAUAUUGUGCCCAAAGAACACAUCUUACCUAAAAAGAUGUGAUUUGUUGUUUACAAAAGCAUUUGUUCCCUGACCGGGAAUCGAACCCGGGCCGCGGCGGUGAGAGCGCCGAAUCCUAACCACUAGACCACCAGGGAAGCUGUAGAAAGUCUAUCAAGCAUAGUCUAUACAUUCUAUAAUUACAGUUCUCUGGUUCUAAAUUAUUUUUCAAAAAAUAUUUAAAUACAGUAUAAUUGUAUGUAUUGCAAUCCCACUCGUAAAAUGUAUCCUUUUCCUAUCGGGGCAGAUAUUUUUUUUUAAAAGUCGCUUUUAUACUUCUUGAAAGCCUUAAAAUAGAUACUUUGUGAUUAUUUUUUUAAAAAAACGGAUAUUCUUUUCAUACCUCUGCUUUAUUAUCUUUGUCACAAAGGCAGCAAAAGAAAAUUUAAUUAAAUGAAGGUUAGGAAAAAAAAAGGAUGUGUCAGAAGUGGGAUUUGAACCCACGCCUCCAUUCGGAGACCAGAACACCCAGAGCUGGGAAGGGAAGAAGCCUUGAGUCUGGCGCCUUAGACCACUCGGCCAUCCUGACACUCACGCGCUAGUCCUCGAACAAAGGCUUCUAAUACUUGCAAGGCCUUCUACCAAUGCGAUUCUUUUGCAAAUUAUUCUUUAGUGGGUUAGAGAAACAAUUCAUUAAAUCUGCUCCAAAGAAUCUUCCCUCCACUGAAUUAUUAUUAUGAUGUUUUAAUCUUACACAUGUGUCUUAAUAUAUGAAUUUAAUAUAUUUU
RNAcentral lists this transfer RNA (2296 nucleotides) under Anolis carolinensis (green anole). RNAcentral's name for it is "lncRNA (ENSACAG00000041129.1)". Lineage: Eukaryota; Metazoa; Chordata; Lepidosauria; Squamata; Anolidae. The record is from RNAcentral.